CAUAUAUCAAUUUUCGCUUCGUUUGUCAUUCAUCAAAACCUAUACAAAAGAACACACGUUUUAGUAUAUUGCAUUGAGAACGUGUUUCCAACAGUCUGGAGAGGUUCAGCAGACUUUCACCUCUGACUUUUAGUGGUGUUCCAGGCGAGGAUGCCUAGGGGUUUCUCGACAAGUGUCGACGCAUGCUCAGGACAUUCGGGAUUGCAGCCUUUACCUGGUGGGAGGAAUAUGAGCGGCAUAGGCCGACAGGUGCAGCACCGUUGUCUUGGCAGGAGUUCUCCACUUUCUUUUUGGAGAAGUGGGUACCAAGGUCAUAGAGGGAGGAGUUACGUAGGCAGUUUGAGAUGCUUCGCCAGGGGGAUAUGUCUAUGACGUAGUAUGACAUGAGAUUUGCAGAGUUAGCUCGUUAUGCUCCGUGGAUGGUCCAGACGUAUCAGGAGAGGAUUAGACGAUUUGUGGACGGGCUCAUUUAUACCAUUUGUUUCUGAUGACUCGAGAGAGGUUCCUGAGUCAUACCCUCGAGAAGGCGUUUGAUAUAGCUCGGGAUAUUGAGACGGCUCGCCGUCAGGAGCGAGAGGAGAGGGAAUCAAAGAGGCCUCGAGGUUUAGGCAGUUAUGGUGGCGUUUAGUCUAGGGGCCAGUUUCAUCAGGGCAGAGGUCGUUCUUUUUGGCCUCCUCAGUCACGAUGCCCAGAGUACAGUGGAGCUUUUUCUGGUCGUGGCCGUCAGGGUCACCAGCAGAGCCAGUCUUCACUCAGUACCUCCCAGCGCAGAGUU
This 775-nucleotide long non-coding RNA is filed under the name Nicotiana benthamiana. RNAcentral's name for it is "long non-coding RNA (NBEN_LNC032624)". The record is from RNAcentral. Lineage: Eukaryota; Viridiplantae; Streptophyta; Magnoliopsida; Solanales; Solanaceae.